UAGGGAAUCUUCCGCAAUGGACGCAAGUCUGACGGAGCAACGCCGCGUGAGUGAAGAAGGAUUUCGGUUCGUAAAACUCUGUUGUUAGAGAAGAACAGCGCAUAGAGUAACUGUUAUGCGUGUGACGGUAUCUAACCAGAAAGCCACGGCUAACUACGUGCCAGCAGCCGCGGUAAUACGUAGGUGGCAAUCGUUGUCCGGAUUUAUUGGGCGUAAAGCGAGCGCAGGCGGUCAAUUAAGUCUGAUGUGAAAGCCCCCGGCUCAACCGGGGAGGGUCAUUGGAAACUGGUUGACUUGAGUGCAGAAGAGGAGAGUGGAAUUCCAUGUGUAGCGGUGAAAUGCGUAGAUAUAUGGAGGAACACCAGUGGCGAAGGCGACUCUCUGGUCUGUAACUGACGCUGAGGCUCGAAAGCGUGGGUAGCAAACAGG
Molecule: ribosomal RNA, 429 nt
Filed under: Bacteroidota bacterium
Lineage: Bacteria; Pseudomonadati; Bacteroidota
Description: Bacteroidetes bacterium partial 16S ribosomal RNA
Rfam family: Bacterial small subunit ribosomal RNA
Source: RNAcentral